Long non-coding RNA from Cyprinus carpio (common carp), 626 nucleotides. RefSeq lists it as uncharacterized. The record is from RefSeq and is a predicted model, not a curated record. NCBI's taxonomy places the organism in Eukaryota, Metazoa, Chordata, Actinopteri, Cypriniformes, Cyprinidae. The transcript is spliced from 3 exons.
UAAAUAUAAAGUAUAUAGAGUUUAUCUAAGAAGACUAACACAUUUGAUUUUACGAGUCAUUGUUUCAUCUGUAAAAAUUAUUUAUUCUAUGCUUUGUGUGUGUGUACACAGUAUAAAAACCAUUACGCCUAUGGAGUCCCCGUAAACCACCAAUGCAGGAUGAAUCCCAGACUUGCAAGGCGUAUAGCAGAGGGUAUUGCAAGCUGCUGUAAAAUGUUUUGGUCGUGUUUUUGUUCAGGGUGCCACUCACUCAUUCAGUAUACAGCAAAAAAGCCCCAGACCAUCACGCUUCCACCUCCACGUUUGACUCGUUCCUCCUCCGUCCUUUCACCUACUCAACAAAACCUGUGUGACAAACACAAGAUUUCACAUUUUGACUCAUCGGUCGAGACCUUCCACCUCCAGGAGUCCAUUGACAAUGCCCAGCUGGGAGCUGCAGAUCUCGCUCAGGCCCGGUCUGACUUACCAGAGAGCUGAACAAUGACCUAUGUGAGGAAAGUAAUCUAAUUCAGCGCUCAGAAGUUAUUUGAAUAUAGAAUGUUAAUGUAGACACUACUCUCAAAAGUUUGGGGUCGAUAAGAUUUUUUGUAAUGUUUUUGAAAGAAUUCUCUUAUGCAUUUAUUUGA